CAGUCGCCGCGGUAAUACAGAGGGUGCGAGCGUUAAUCGGAUUUACUGGGCGUAAAGCGUGCGUAGGCGGCUUUUUAAGUCGGAUGUGAAAUCCCUGAGCUUAACUUAGGAAUUGCAUUCGAUACUGGGAAGCUAGAGUAUGGGAGAGGAUGGUAGAAUUCCAGGUGUAGCGGUGAAAUGCGUAGAGAUCUGGAGGAAUACCGAUGGCGAAGGCAGCCAUCUGGCCUAAUACUGACGCUGAGGUGCGAAAGCGUGGGGAGCAAACAGGAUUAGAGACCCCGGUAGUCCCUGUCUCUUAUAC
This 301-nucleotide ribosomal RNA is filed under the name uncultured bacterium. Its description in RNAcentral is "partial 16S ribosomal RNA". It matches the Rfam family "Bacterial small subunit ribosomal RNA", at positions 509 to 807 of the family's 1533-position model. The record is from RNAcentral.